CAGGAACCGAAUGAACCAUUUGUUGAGCAUGAAAGGGAGCAACAACAGCCACCUCCUGAAAAGUACAAAGCACGACUUGUGGCAAAAGGAUUUACACAAAGAGAAGGGAUAGAUUACAAUGAGACAUUUUCCGGUCUCAUGUAAGGAUUCCUUCAGAAUCAUCAUGGCACUAGUUGCACAUUUUGAUUUAAAGUUGCAUCAAAUGGAUGUAAAGACGACAUUUCUAAACGGGGAUUUAGAAGAAAAUGUCUACAUGAAACAACCCAAGGGUUUUAUCAUGGAAGGCAAGGAAGAAAUGGGAUGCCGCCUAAAGAAAUCCAUUUAUGGAUUACAGCAAGCCUCCAGACAGUGGUAUCUAAAGUUUAAUGAAACAAUUAAGAAAUUUGGAUUUAAAGAAAAUAUUGAGGACAAUUGCGUUUAUGCAAAGUUUAAAAGUGGGAAAUAUAUUUUCCUAAUCUUGUAUGUGGAUGAUAUUCUGCUUGCCAGCAGUGAUGUUAGUCUACUGGAAGAGACAAAGAAGUUCUUGUCCUCAAAAUUUUAUAUGAAAGAUCUUGGUGAAGCGUCAUAUGUUUUGGGCAUAGAAAUUCACCGAGAUAGAAACAAUGGAGUAUUAGGACUAUCGCAAAAGGCUUAUUUAGAAAAGAUUCUAAGUAAGUAUAAUAUGCAUAAGUGCAGUGCCACACCUGCCCCUAUAGUCAAGGGGUGACAGUUUUGGGAAACAUCAAAGUCCCCAAAAUCAAUACGAGCUCGAUCAAAUGAAAGCGGUUCCAUAUGCUUCGGCUAUUGGAAGCCUACAGUAUGCACAAGUGUGCACUCGCCCUGACUUAGCAUUUAUCACCGGAGUACUCGGUAGAUAUCAAGAAAAUCCAGGUUUUGAACACUGGAAAAUGGUAAAGAAGGCAUUGCGUUAUGUGAAAGGCACAAAUAAUUACAUGCUAACAUACAGAAGAUCUGAUUCCCUAGAAAUAAAAGGGUAUUCAGAUGCAGAUUUUGCGGGGGAUAAAGAUGAUAGAAAAUCCACAUCUGGAUAGGUAUUCACCCUCGCAGGGGGAGCUAUUUCGUGGAGAAGCUCCAAACAGACCAUAGUUGCAUCAUCCACGAUGUAUGCAGAAUUUAUAGCAUGUUAUGAAGCCACGGGGCAGGCAUUAUGGUUAAAGAAAUUUAUACCCGACUUGAAAGUGGUAGAUUGUAUUGACAAACCACUAAAGAUGUACUGCGACAAUGAGCCUGCAGUAUUUUAUGCUCACAACAACAAGUCGAGUAAUGCUACUAAACCGAUUGAGGUUAAGUAUUAUGUUGUGAAACACAAGGUCCAGGAUCAAACUAUAAGUCUCGAGCAUAUAAGGACAAAAGAUAUGCUUGCGGAUCCGCUAACGAAAGGCUUACCACCCAGCGUGUUCAAGGAGCACGUAGCCGGCAGGGGUUUAAGGGAAAGUCUUACCUAUCCUGGAUCAUAAGAGGCCCAAAAGUAAAAGAAUUUGUUUCAAAACAGAGAAGUGUAUUGUGGCUGUCUGAUUCUAUCGGCAAUAGAGCUGUGACGAUGAAACAUGCCCUAUGGACUGAUCCAAAAUGAAACGAAUAAAGUGAAAGUAUAAAGAUAAAAGAAAAUUUGAGAUCAAGGGGGAGAAUGUUAGGAUUGAUCUCCACCGCACCAAGCCCAACGGCUCUGGCACGACCCCUUGACCUCGUCCGCGCCCUGAUCGGGGGCGCCCAACCGUUCGCUGGUUGGUGGGCCCCUGUCGCCUUCACUAUAUAAAGUGGUGGGGGCCAGUGGCACAGGUUACGAGGUUGCCCGGAGCUGCCACUCGCCCCACCAGACAACCCACCGAUCAGGGUAGUGCAGUGCCGACGGGAAGCACCACCACCACCUCGCCCAACGUACUGCCGUCCUCGCCAUGUCCAGAUCAGCGAGUUCCUCCUCCAAUGGAAAAGGUAAACCCACGGUACAUGUACAUCUCUCUCUCCCUCUCUCAGAACAUGAACACUUUAUGUUACAGAGAUAGAUACUACUCGUUUAGAUCUACACUAGUCGAUCCAUAGAUAUUAACAGAGGGGUCUGGUUCAUGAAUGAUUGAGAUUUAUUUAGUUGUAGACAUGUCGUGAUACAAGCCAAUAUAUGUGUAUUUCUCUUCACAUGGUUUGAGCAUCGGCCAGGAGGGUAGUUUCUUUUUUUUCAUGAAGUGGAUUACCAGAAAUUUGGCUUUUCACACUAUUGUAGUACUUUCUACUGUGACGAGGAGCACUAUCAGGAAUUGGUUGCUUCUUUGAAUCGUUGUUUUUUGUAGUUAAACUAAGCAACUGUAUGUGCAUCAUUCCAUUCCACUUACGGAGCUAGGUUGAUAAUUCGCUUUGAAAGUACUAUAUUAAUUUGGGUAUACUUUCAUACCUCUUUAUCUACCCUCUGGAGCUAGAAACGAUACAAAGUGUUUGCUUCUGAUGCAGUUUGGUUAUUGUAGAAGACUUAACAGCAUGCUGCAUCGGUGAACCACAAAUUAGUUGACAUGCCUUCUGUAAAUUAGUACCAGAAUAGGGCAUGAUGUACAUUUAGGAUAUAUACUAUUUAAAUACUUCAACUAAUUUUCUAGCAAUCAAAUAUGUUUGUUGACAAUAGCAAGGAUUUGGUUAGAAAUACCUUUUGAUAUGCUCAUGUGCUUCGCUAAUGGAUGUCCUCCUUGGUGCCAAGGAAUACACAGCACUAGCAUCAUAUGUUUUGUGCAGGCAUGUUAAACAGAUAAUGCCAUAAAUGAUCAUGGGAGUUCUCCAGACGUUCUGCACCAGCGUAGAGCCACGCCAUCUCCUCCCGACCCACACGUUCUGUUGGCGUUGGCGAGCACUCUGGCAGCAACGGAAUCCUUCAGAUUGCACGCAUGUCGGAGUCUUAAGUUGUUGAUAAUAUAGAGCAUAAAGUUUUUGCAUCAAUUUCGCACUGAGCAUGUCUCUUUUUUAUUGUCUCUUCCCAUGCAAAUGCAUGUCGAGGUGUGAUCUUGGCAAAAAGCAACAAACUCUGGAAUUUAGUAUGUAAUUCAAGUUUGAUAUGUUCUGUUGACCAUCAUAACUUGGUACUCUUCACCAAUAUUAUUUGGCUCUCGGCCAUUUUGUCUCCUAACCUCACAAUAUUGUUUUAAGAAAUUUAUAUUUUGCUUAAGGAUGGCAAUUUUACCUGCGGGUACCGUACCCACAUGGGAGGAUAUGGAUACACUUUUAUGCCCAUGGGUAGUACCUAUACCCUGCCCGCUAAGUCAUGGGUAGGGCAUGGGUAUAGCCUCAUACCCGCGGGCAUACCCAUGCCCUGCCCGUUUAUUAUCAACUUCUUAUGUCACACGUCUAAUUUUAUUGACUUAUGAGUUAAAGUAUGUAUGAGAAUGUGCUUUUUAUAUUUUGUUAAUUUUUAUGUACUCAACUACCUCUUAUUAAGUUGAGAUAAUUCAUCUUUUUAAUCAAAUUUAUUGUCGAGAAAUGUAAAAUUGCGAGUGACUUCUGUACAAUUUGACCUACCCACCGGGUAUCCAAUGGGUACGGGUACCUGCCGGGUAUGGGAAUGGGUAAAGUUUUAUAUCCGUGGGUACGGGUAUGUGUAGAAGUUUGUACCCAUUGACUAUAUGGACAUGGGUAUGGUAUUUCUCUACCCUGCCCAUACCCUACCCAUUGCCAUCCUUAAUUCUGCCAAACAUAGGACUGCUUGGUAGGUUACAUAGAUGGCAAGGGCUCAAGUUCUAUAGGUACAUGAAGUUUUAGUUCUGCCACUUUUUGUUCGGGUAUAUUCUGAAGUGAAUGAUCUGUAGCACCAGCUUUGUGAGGAACUUUACACUCUCACUGGUAUGUAUAAUGUUCGUUUGCUAAUAAGGAUGUACUGGUCCAAAAUAUCUUAUAUUGGCUGUUUGUUUAUUCUACCUGAAACUGAAUAAGCUUGGCUGUUAGCAGCGCCAGUGAAAACCAUUAUGUAAUUUUACAUUCAUGUUCUUUCUUCGUUGUCAUAUAAUAUAGGGUAUGCAGCCUGCCAGAAAUGCAAAUCGGCAUUUAACCAAUGAAAAAUGAAACGUGCCACGUGCUUUUCUUUGUUGUCACCAGUUGCUUCCUUCACAAUCACCAUAUACAUUGGUAGCAUGUUGUCUCUGUUUACAAUCUUUCAAAUUUCUACAUCUGUGCAUUUUGUUCUGUGUUUAGAGCAUCCACUGAUUUCGUCUUUUUGGGGUCCCUGUUUCUGGCUUGGCGGGGAACACUUGGUUUUCUGCUGGAUUUCGUACAAGUUUAUUUUCAACUUCCCAGUCAAAUUGUUUCUUAAUUUGAUAAAAGAGUGACGUAGAUGAGCACUUUCAGGCAGAAAUACCUGAAUGGAAUGGACUACAUCUCUGCCCCUCCUUGAGCAGGGCAGGCUGCAGCAGAACACUAGGUGCCUGUCUUCUGGAAACAACACGGUUACGAGCUGCGGUAGGUCGGGGAGCCAACAAGAGCACAAUGCUUCUUCCUGAUCCAAUUGUGCAGUGGUCAGAUUGACCGUAAUCUCUUAGUUUUGCCGUCUCUUGUGAUCACACAACCCUUGCUCACGUUUAGUUGCCUGUGAGCUGGUACUCGAUCCAGUGACCCUUUGGCUCUCCUGUCUCUGUGGCCUAUGCAUCCCCAGUGCGUUUGGAGGUGUUCUUCUUAUUGCUAUGGAUCUUUCUUUAAGUGUUCGCCUUAUUUUCUCAUUAUCUCUAUUGGAUAUCUAAAUUUAGUCUCAUGUGACAUGUGUUGUUCAGUUUGGUUGUCACCGAAUUUUUGCAUGCUAAUUAUCUACUACUUCCGGUCAAGAUAAAUAAAUGUCAGGUACUUUUAUACUUCUUUGACUAGAUAUAAGAGGACAAUCAAUGCCAUUUAUGGUUUAUGUCCGGUGAUUAGAGCAGUUGAAGAUAUUUUUUCUUAAUAUAAAUUGACAGGAACAUGAUGAUAAUUAGAAUUUAUUAUGAUUUUUUUGUUCUCCAUCUCGCUGAUGCGAAGGUGCUUAGUUUUAUUCAACUAUUUGAACACCGGGUUUAAUUAUGCUAGGAGGCCAUGGUUACGGAUGUGCCUUUCUAAAUGAUAAUUGACUAAUUGACAAGUUCUUUUUUUUGUGGGGGAAUAAACAUGUUCUCUCACAGUUGAUUUGUUCUAAAAUCUGAUGAACCAUUAUGCUACUUCUUAAAAAAAUACACAUGUCACGAGCUUGAUUUUCCCAUAUGAACCUUGUUGCCGGUCAGAACAUUUGAAAAAGUGUUUUUCUUAUUCUUAUGGUGCAAGGUAUUGGUGCCUCUAGACAGGAUGCUCUAUAGUCCCUAGUGCAAAGGUGCUUAGUUUUAGUCAAUUGUGCAGAUUGGAAAAAGGUUGUUUAGUUGUACUUGAUGGCCAUGAGUGCCCAAAAGAUAAUGAUGCGCCUUUACAAAUAAUAUUUGAAACCUUCUGAUGUGUUAUAGAGGGCUGAUGGUUAGGUCAACAAUGUGAUGAACCAUUGUGUUAGUGCUAAAAACUGAUAGUCUGACACUCACAUGUUACAUAUUUGAUUUGGCAUCUCCAUCCUGGGCUUCGCUAUGGUUUCUCUUAACUCUUGAUAUCUCAGCCUGGUACUGGUAAUAGGAUAAUAGUAGGACUGACAAAAAAACAAAUUAAAUGAAGGAAUUAACGGUAUGACACUAAGGUGGCAUAACAGUGAAGAUAAUUGUAACUUAGUAACUACACUCUAUCCUGAUAGAGUGAUAGGUAACGGCUUACGAAUCUAUGUUUUUGGUUGUGUCACCGUUGAUUGAUUGAAUUUUAUUUAUAUACAAUAUGAUCAUAGGUACUGCCCCACCGAAAUUGGUACCAUGGAUUUUGUUACCAUGUUUAUCCUGUAAUCAAGCAGUUGUAGAUUGUGUUCGUUGUAUAUUUUUUAAGGUGGAUUGCUAAUCUAUUCCAUAUAAUUUUCACUGGAAGGGAUACAAAUUAUUCUGCUGUGUACGGGAUCGUUUAGACUACACCAUUUUUCCAUCUUUCAGAGACAUGAUACCAUUAAGGAAUCUGGGAAACUUUGCUCUGCGCAGUAGAACCCCCAUGAGAUGUAUGUGUGGCCCUCAUUUCUUUUUUGGUAAUUCAGUGUCAACUAUUUUAUUUUAGCUUUUGAACAUAUUAAAUGUCAUCCGAUAAACACAUAGUUAGAAGAGUCCUUAGACAUGCCAGUUAUGCAGAAUGUGAACAGCAGGCAAUCUUCUAUGUAUUUGCACCACCCCCUUGCACUAGAAAAAUGAACUGUACAAGAACAUUGCAAUUUCAUUAUCGCUAUUGUAUUAAGAGCAAUCAAGUAGAAGAUUUUUCUUUAUGCCAUAGACCAGGGGUAAGUAGUCUACAGUCCCCUUGAUAUCAAAGUACUGAGAACAUAUACAUUCAAGACGGUUCCGCGAUAACUGUACAAUUUCACUUACAUUCUUUCAUAUUGUUUUAGCCUCCUACACUGUGUAUUACGAAACACUAGCAAGAUAAAGAAAGUUAGAUAUGUAGGCUGAUGUUUCUAUUUGCAUAGCUGCCAAAGUACCAAGAGAUGGCUACUAUACAUAUCUUCUGAAGCUAGCUGCUAAAGUACCACCAGAUUGUCGUUGAGCAUGUUUUUGUGUGGAUAACUAGAAGUCACGGUUGGCUGUGAUAUUGCUUCUUGUGUUUUGAUUGUUUAGUUGGUUUGAGGUGCUGCUAACUUUGUUGCCUGAUGAUGGGACAAAUGAACCUUUGUUCAGUUGUGUUGAUAAUGGAGCAUAGAGCAAUGCUUCAUAUGGGAAAAAGAUAUGUAUCCUUCGUGUUCUUUGUUGACCGAAGAAGAUAUUCCUGAUGAAGGAUAUGACUGGAGAUUCUUGACGGGGUUAAAGAGCACAUGGUUGAUGAAUCGGAGCAAGUUUGCAGCUAGGGUAUGGACGUACAUGCGAUGAAUAGUUACGAUUAGAUGUUUAUUUAGGGAAAAUUGGGCAAAAUGUUAGAAUGAGCUGGCAAUAGUGCAGAGAAGAGGUAGACACGUUUUGUGUUAAAACUGGACAUGUUCUCUGUACUGUUUUAUUGUAUAUAUAUCUCAAGCGUGAAAUAAUUCUUUUUCAAAAUAGAGGAAAUACAUUUUAGACAACA
Lolium perenne is the source of this 7092-nucleotide long non-coding RNA. RefSeq lists it as uncharacterized. The record is from RefSeq and is a predicted model, not a curated record. NCBI's taxonomy places the organism in Eukaryota, Viridiplantae, Streptophyta, Magnoliopsida, Poales, Poaceae.